This 186-nucleotide ribosomal RNA is filed under the name Klebsiella pneumoniae. Its description in RNAcentral is "partial 16S ribosomal RNA". It matches the Rfam family "Bacterial small subunit ribosomal RNA", at positions 1 to 182 of the family's 1533-position model. The record is from RNAcentral. RNAcentral also lists the same sequence under 4 other names. Lineage: Bacteria; Pseudomonadati; Pseudomonadota; Gammaproteobacteria; Enterobacterales; Enterobacteriaceae.
AAAUUGAAGAGUUUGAUCAUGGCUCAGAUUGAACGCUGGCGGCAGGCCUAACACAUGCAAGUCGAGCGGUAGCACAGAGAGCUUGCUCUCGGGUGACGAGCGGCGGACGGGUGAGUAAUGUCUGGGAAACUGCCUGAUGGAGGGGGAUAACUACUGGAAACGGUAGCUAAUACCGCAUAACGUCGC